RNAcentral lists this microRNA (23 nucleotides) under Columba livia (rock pigeon). Its description in RNAcentral is "cli-miR-1677-3p". RNAcentral also lists the same sequence under 1 other name. The record is from miRBase by way of RNAcentral. Lineage: Eukaryota; Metazoa; Chordata; Aves; Columbiformes; Columbidae.
UUGACUUCAAUAGGAGCAGGAUU